CCUACGGGUGGCAGCAGUGAGGAAUAUUGGUCAAUGGACGAGAGUCUGAACCAGCCAAGUAGCGUGAAGGAUGACUGCCCUAUGGUUUGUAAACUUCUUUUAUAUGGGAAUAAAAUGUUCCACGUGUGGGAUUUUGUAUGUACCAGAUGAAUAAGGAUCGGCUAACUCCGUGCCAGCAGCCGCGGUAAUACGGAGGAUCCGAGCGUUAUCCGGAUUUAUUGGGUUUAAAGGGAGCGUAGGUGGAUUGUUAAGUCAGUGGUGAAAGUUUGCGGCUCAACCGUAAAAGUGCCGUUGAAACUGGCAGUCUUGAGUACAGUAGAGGUGGGCGGAAUUCGUGGUGUAGCGGUGAAAUGCUUAGAUAUCACGAAGAACUCCGAUUGCGAAGGCAGUUCACUGGACUGCAACUGACACUGAGGCUCGAAAGUGUGGGUAUCAAACAGGAUUAGAUACCCGGGUAGUC
RNAcentral lists this ribosomal RNA (460 nucleotides) under uncultured bacterium. RNAcentral's name for it is "partial 16S ribosomal RNA". It matches the Rfam family "Bacterial small subunit ribosomal RNA", at positions 338 to 795 of the family's 1533-position model. The record is from RNAcentral.